RNAcentral lists this ribosomal RNA (1306 nucleotides) under metagenome. Its description in RNAcentral is "bacterial LSU rRNA". It matches the Rfam family "Bacterial large subunit ribosomal RNA", at positions 1600 to 2925 of the family's 2925-position model. The record is from RNAcentral.
CAGUCCGUCCAAGAAAAUCUCCGCGGGAGCAGAGCGGUGACCGUACCAAAUCUGACACAGGAGGGCGAGGCGAAUAGCCUCAGGCGCGCGAGAGAACCCUACGUGAAGGAACUCGGCAAAUUAACCCCGUAAGUUCGCGAUAAGGGGUGCCCCCCGUAAGGGGGGCCACAGGAAAACGACAGCUGCGACUGUUUACUAAAAACACAGGUCUCUGCGAAGUCGUCAAAGACGACGUAUAGGGACUGACGCUUGCCCGCUGUUGGAACGUUAAGGUGACUGGUUAGCCGCAAGGCGAGGCUGGGAACCGAAGCGCCAAUGAAGGGCGGCCGUAACAAUGACGGUCCUAAGGUAGCGAAAUUCCUUGUCGGGUAAGUUCCGACCCGCACGAAUAGCGUAACGACAGCUGUACUGUCUCCACGAGGGACUCGGCGAAAUUGUAGUUGUGGUGAAGAUGCCACAUACCCGCACCAAGACGGAAAGACCCCGUGAACCUUUACUGUAACCUAAUACUGGCUCUAGGUUCGCCAUGUGUAGCAUAGGUGGGAGACGUUAAUGUCGGGGGCGCCAGCCUCCGAAUAGUCUUCAGUGAAAUACCACUCUUGGCGAUCUUGGAGUCUAACCUGCGACCGUUAUCCGGCGUGGGAACAGUGUUAGGCGGGCAGUUUGACUGGGGCGGUCUCCUCCUAAAAGGUAACGGAGGAGUGCAAAGGUACCCUCAAUGCGGUUGGCAAUCGCAUGAAGAGCGUAAAGGUAUAAGGGUGCUUGACUGCGAGACACAUAGGUCGAGCAGGUACGAAAGUAGGUCUUAGUGAUCCGGUGGUCCCGUGUGGAAGGGCCAUCGCUCAUCAGAUAAAAGGUACUCCGGGGAUAACAGGCUGAUCACGCCCAAGAGUCCAUAUCGACGGCGUGGUUUGGCACCUCGAUGUCGGCUCAUCGCAUCCUGGGGCUGAAGGCGGUCCCAAGGGUUGGUCUGUUCGCCCAUUAAAGCGGUACGUGAGCUGGGUUUAGACCGUCGUGAGACAGGUCGGUCCCUAUCUGGUGUGGGCGCAGGAUGAUUGCGGAGACUCUUUCCUAGUACGAGAGGAUUGGAAAGAACGGACCUCUGGUGUGCCAGUUGUCGCGCUAGCGGCAUCGCUGGAUAGCUAUGUCCGGGCUGGAUAAGCGCUGAAAGCAUCUAAGUGCGAAGCCAACUCCAAGACUGGUCAUCCCAUGAGACACCUGGUAGACCACCAGGUUGAUAGGCCGGAAGUGUAAGGACAGCAAUGUUCUCAGCUAACCGGUACUAACCAGUCGAUCGGCUUGAUCU